UCAAUGUCUUUCUAGCUUUAACUGAUAGAAUAUUCCUGCAGAUGCCAAACGAACUGAACGCGUCUCGAAGAAGUUGUGGCGAUAUUUAAACAAAACUUCAGUACUUCAAACGUCGAUGUUUACGCCCAUGUAAGAUGGAUCCCAUGCAGGUGGUAAGUAAAAUUUAAUGUUGUUAGAAAUUUGAAUGUUGUUUUGACAAGACACUUAUGUAUACUCAAUAACCAAAUUCGACAAUUCCACGCGUAUUUGCAUUGCGCGUAUUGCUGUAUUUUUAGGUCUAAAGGCCCACACAGACCGGACGCGAUUUGGAAACGCGACGCGAAUUUUCAAUGACAUUUAACUUCACUAUUUUUCUAUGUUUUUCAAACAUUCGGAACCACUUAAUUAAGCAAUUUUAGCUAU
Molecule: non-coding RNA, 402 nt
Organism: Paramuricea clavata
Lineage: Eukaryota; Metazoa; Cnidaria; Anthozoa; Malacalcyonacea; Plexauridae
Source: the annotation of a GenBank genome assembly